GAGGAAGCUGAGCAAGCCAUGAGGAGAAGCCCGUAACUCCUUCAGACUCUACAGUUUCAGAGAAAACUGGGAGAAGGGCGAGUGACUGUCCAAAUAAACGAUUUCAUCGUAAUCUGAGAGUUGUGAAGACUGAGCAAAUGACAUCUGAGUAUCAUUUACAUAGUAUCAUAGUAUCAGUAAGAUCUCUGUCCACAACUGUGUAACAUCUGCAACAAAUCCUCGAUGCCAAGAAUCUUUAUUUCACAAGUCAAAGUGGCAGCUGUGACAGGAGCCACGUCUUCUGCAAGGCAUCUCCCACAAACCAUAGCACAUACAGAUCUCUCCAGUCCCCACCACAUCCUUGUUUACCCACGUCAGCUUCUGGUCCAGUUACUCAAAGGCUGUAAAUUUCUGUGUGAAGACUAUAGU
This is a long non-coding RNA of Peromyscus leucopus (white-footed mouse), 408 nucleotides long. RefSeq lists it as uncharacterized. Lineage: Eukaryota; Metazoa; Chordata; Mammalia; Rodentia; Cricetidae. The record is from RefSeq and is a predicted model, not a curated record. The transcript is spliced from 3 exons.